AACGCGAAGAACCUUACCUGGGUUUGACAUCCCAUGAAAAGUGCAGAAACGCAUAAUAGCCGCAAGGCACAUGGAGACAGGUGCUGCAUGGCUGUCGUCAGCUCGUGUCGUGAGAUGUUGGGUUAAGUCCCGCAACGAGCGCAACCCUUUCCCUUAUUUGCCAGCAUUAAGUUGGGCACUCUAGGGGUACUGCCAAUGAUAAAUUGGAGGAAGGUGGGGACGAGGUCAAGUCAUCAUGGCUCUUACAUCCAGGGCAACACACGUACUACAAUGGCCAAGACAAAGCGAAGCGAGAUCGUAAGAUUUAGCAAAUCGCAAAAACAUGGUCUCAGUUCGGAUUGUGGUCUGCAACUCGACCACAUGAAGUUGGAAUCUCUAGUAAUCGCAGAUCAGCAGGCUGCGGUGAAUACGUUCUCGGGCCUUGUACACACCGGAGUA
Molecule: ribosomal RNA, 438 nt
Filed under: uncultured bacterium
Lineage: Bacteria
Description: bacterial SSU rRNA
Rfam family: Bacterial small subunit ribosomal RNA
Source: RNAcentral